GAAAGGUCUUCGGACCGAGUAAAGUGGCGCACGGGUGAGUAACACGUGAGUAACCUACCCUUUGGUCUGGGAUAACAAGCCGAAAGGCUUGCUAAUACCGGAUAAGACCACGGUGUCCUCGGACGCAGUGGGAAAAGUUGGGGACCGAAGACGGCCUGACGCAGAAGGAUGGGCUCGCGGCCUAUCAGCUUGUUGGUGAGGUAAUGGCUCACCAAGGCUUAGACGGGUAGCUGGUCUGAGAGGAUGAUCAGUCACACUGGAACUGAGACACGGUCCAGACUCCUACGGGAGGCAGCAGUGGGAAUUUUGCGCAAUGGACGAAAGCCUGACGCAGCGACGCCGCGUGUGCGAUGAAGGCCCUUGGGUCGUAAAGCACUGUCAAGCGGGAAGAACAGUUUUCGGUUAAUACCCGGAGACUCUGACGGUACCGCUGGAGGAAGCACCGGCUAACUCUGUGCCAGCAGCCGCGGUAAUACAGAGGGUGCAAACGUUGUUCGGAAUUACUGGGCGUAAAGAGCUUGUAGGCGGCAUGUUAAGUCGACUGUGAAAGCCCAUGGCUCAACCAUGGAAGUGCAGUCGAUACUGGCACGCUAGAGUCCCGGAGAGGGUGGUGGAAUUCCCAGUGUAGAGGUGAAAUUCGUAGAUAUUGGGAGGAACACCAGUGGCGGAGGCGACCACCUGGACGGGUACUGACGCUGAGAAGCGAAAGCGUGGGGAGCAAACAGGAUUAGAUACCCUGGUAGUCCACGCCCGUAAACGAUGAGCACUAGGUGUUGCGGGUAUUGACCCCUGCAGUGCCGACGCUAACGCAUUAAGUGCUCCGCCUGGGGAUUACGGCCCGCAGGCUAAAACUCAGAGGAAUUGACGGGGGCCCGCACCAGCGUGGAGUA
Molecule: ribosomal RNA, 890 nt
Filed under: uncultured bacterium
Lineage: Bacteria
Description: bacterial SSU rRNA
Rfam family: Bacterial small subunit ribosomal RNA
Source: RNAcentral